AUUUGAUGCUAUGGGCAUCUAGUGCACAACUUAUUGAACCUUUCCCAAUAAUCAUAUAGAAAUUCUCCGGGAUACUGCUUAAUGCUGCAUAUCUCUUUUCUCAGACU
Molecule: small nucleolar RNA, 107 nt
Organism: Coffea arabica (coffee)
Lineage: Eukaryota; Viridiplantae; Streptophyta; Magnoliopsida; Gentianales; Rubiaceae
Source: RefSeq, a predicted model, not a curated record